GACGAUAGCUUUUCUGGGG
RNAcentral lists this unclassified non-coding RNA (19 nucleotides) under Dictyostelium discoideum. Lineage: Eukaryota; Evosea; Eumycetozoa; Dictyosteliales; Dictyosteliaceae. The record is from RNAcentral.